RNAcentral lists this ribosomal RNA (246 nucleotides) under uncultured bacterium. RNAcentral's name for it is "partial small subunit ribosomal RNA". It matches the Rfam family "Bacterial small subunit ribosomal RNA", at positions 26 to 286 of the family's 1533-position model. The record is from RNAcentral.
AGAAUCAACGCUGGCGGCGUGCCUAACACAUGCAAGUCGCACGAGAAAGGGGAGCAAUCCCUGAGUACAGUGGCGCACGGGUGAGUAACACGUGAAUUAUCUACCUCCGAGUGGGGAAUAACUGAGAGAAAUCUUAGCUAAUACCGCAUAACACUUACGAGUCAAAGCAGCAAUGCGCUUGGAGAGGAGUUCGCGGCCGAUUAGUUAGUUGGCGGGGUAAUGGCCCACCAAGACGAUGAUCGGUAU